RNAcentral lists this ribosomal RNA (1044 nucleotides) under uncultured eukaryote. RNAcentral describes it as "bacterial SSU rRNA". It matches the Rfam family "Eukaryotic small subunit ribosomal RNA", at positions 577 to 1664 of the family's 1831-position model. The record is from RNAcentral.
CGGUAAUUCCAGCUCCAAUAGCGUAUAUUAAAGUUGUUGCAGUUAAAAAGCUCGUAGUUGAAUUUCUGGAGAGGCAGUCUAUCUGUCAAACUCGACGGAUGGUCAGCCUUCUUCAUCCUUCUGUUAACGAUUAAUGCCAUUCAUUUGCUGUCUUCCGGAUCAGAUUUUUUACUUUGAUAAAAUUAGAGAGUUUCAGGCAGGCUUGGCCGGAAUACAUUAUCAUGCAAUAAUAAAAUAGGACUUUGGAUCUAUUUGUUGGAUUAGACUACGAAGUAAUGAUUAAUAGAAACAGUCGGUGGAAUCAGUAUUUAAUUGUCAGAGGUGAAAUUCUUGGAUUUAUUAAAGACUAACUUAUGCGAAAGCACUUACCAAGGAUGUUUUCAUUAAUCAAGAACGAAAGUUAGGGAGAUCAAAGACGAUCAGAUACCGACCUAGUCUUAACCAUAAACUAUGCCGAUUAGAGAUCAGGUGAGCAACUAACACUCACUUGGCAUCUCAAGAGAAAUCAAAAUCUUUGGGUUCUGGGGGGAGUAUGGUCACAAGACUGAAACUUAAAGGAAUUGACGGAAGGGCACACCAGGAGUGGAGCUUGCGGCUUAAUUUGACUCAACACGAGAAAACUUACUAGGUCCAGACAUAGUUAGGAUUGACAGAUUGAUAGAUCUUUCUUGAUUCUAUGGGAGGUGGUGCAUGGACGUUUUUAGUUGGUGGAGUGAUUGGUCGGGUUGAUUCCGUUAACGAUCGAGACCUUAACUAACUAAAUAACCCUAUUGGUUGAGAUCAGUAGCGAGUUAUAAGAGGGACAAUUUGGGCAAGCAAACGGAAGUGUGAGGCAAUAACAGGUCUGUGACAGCCUUAGAUGUCCUGGAGCACACGCGUUAAACACUGACGCAGACAACAAGAAAGGCGCUCCGAAAGGCAGUAGGCAAUCUAUAAUGUACAUCGUGAUGGGGAUAGAUCUUUGUAAUCAUAGAUCUUGAACGAGGAAUUCUUAGUAAGCGUAAGUCAUUAGCUUACGCUGACUAAGUACCCUGCCGCUUUGUA